This is a long non-coding RNA of Engraulis encrasicolus (European anchovy), 842 nucleotides long. RefSeq lists it as uncharacterized. The transcript has 3 exons. Lineage: Eukaryota; Metazoa; Chordata; Actinopteri; Clupeiformes; Engraulidae. The record is from RefSeq and is a predicted model, not a curated record.
UGUAUAACUGUAGGAACAGACUGGACAGUGAAAGUGAAUCCCGCCUGGACUUAACAGACCCCUAUACCUAGAAUGACCCAAAAAUUUGACUAUUGAUCUUGUCACAGGUCAGUCCAUGAGCCCACGUCUUCAGGCCAGGGACCCGAGAGGAAUUUCCAGUGACAUGGAUCAACAGAGAUCCUCAAACAGUCAGUCCAUGUGCCACGUUCCAGCCAGGGACCAAAAGGGGGGCUUUUGUCAUGGGGCCAGACAGACAUCCUCAAGCAAGAAAUAGAGAGAUGCAUCCAGGCCACCCACUAGGAGGUGGAACAUCUUACGAAGAGGUGGCUGUACCUGGCGGCAGACUGAGAUGGGGUGAGGAAGAGGAGAAGCACAGACCAUGAACGGAAUGUCAGAUAUUUGCCCUUUUUAUGCCCAGCGCACACACACACACCGGCAUAUAAACAUGCACAUAGACACAGGCGCACGUGCACACACAUACACGCACUCUCAAACAAGAUGGGAGUCUCUGGUGAUGUUGGCAAAUAAUCUGAAUCGGUACACACUGCAAUGAUUCCACCAUCAUGCCCCACCUACGCGAGUCCUGUCCUUCAGCAUUGACUUACUCCCCAGGUGUGGUGUGCCUUCAUCCGAACCACAAUGGCAUCCCAAGCAGCAACAAACACCUGCACACAUGCAUGCUACAGUACACACACAAACACACUGGACUGUGAACUAGGUCAGACACACACACACACACGCUCAAAGUAGCCAAGAUCGAAAAGGCUGCAUCGGUGGCUUGACUUCAUCCAUUUUUUGGAGGAACACCUUUGUCAAUUUUGAGGAACUUUGUUGUGGGAAGA